RNAcentral lists this ribosomal RNA (251 nucleotides) under uncultured prokaryote. RNAcentral's name for it is "partial 16S ribosomal RNA". It matches the Rfam family "Bacterial small subunit ribosomal RNA", at positions 525 to 775 of the family's 1533-position model. The record is from RNAcentral.
ACGAAGGGGGCUAGCGUUGCUCGGAAUUACUGGGCGUAAAGCGCACGUAGGCGGAUUGCUAAGUCGGGGGUGAAAUCCCGGAGCUCAACUCCGGAACUGCCUUCGAUACUGGCGAUCUCGAGUCCGGGAGAGGUGAGUGGAACUCCGAGUGUAGAGGUGAAAUUCGUAGAUAUUCGGAAGAACACCAGUGGCGAAGGCGGCUCACUGGCCCGGUACUGACGCUGAGGUGCGAAAGCGUGGGGAGCAAACAG